UUCAUUUCUGCUGAGCCAUGAGGGGAACUCCAGAUUUUUUUUUUUUUUCCAUCUUUUCAGGUGUGGGUAAAAUGAGGUUCAGGUGAUGAGGAGGUUUCCCUGGUAACAUAAAUGGUGUUCACCUCAGGACACUAGCCCAGGUGUCUGUCCCACUCUGCCAAGUGGGGGUGGAGCAUCUGUGUGAGCCCCUCCCUCCUCACUGCCUGGCUCAGAUUUGGCAAAGCCUCAUGAGUCUGCUCCAACCUCGUGCCCAUUUCAUGGUGUCUUCCUUCAGAUCCACCUGCUCCAUUAUUGGACUCAUCCAGGGCGUCAGACCAGUGCAAUGAAGCUUUGAUGUUGCAGGAGGGUGUUUAAGUGUCUCCCUCCCUCUCUGUCUCUAAGUGCUUCUCCCUUCUGGUGACGCCAAGGAGGAACGGGUGGCCAGGCUCACAGGGGCACGGAGGUGGCAGAACCUGAGCAAGACAUAAGACAAGUGAAUGUGGGACUUCAGAACUGGCUGAAUCAGGCAGCCUAGUGGCCAGGAUGCCAUCUUGGCCAGUGAUCCCUAGGACUCUGGAGCUCAAUUGUCCCCAGACCACCCAUGCUGGCCAGGACUAUAGGAUACAGAAGUAACUGGAAUAGAGAGAGGAUCUGCCCGUGCCCCUGACACCCCCCCCCCCGCCCCCGCCAAGGGCUCCUUGAACCUUAGCACAAUCUUCUCAAGGGAAUCUCUCAAAAAGAUGGUGCUGAAAGUUCUCAAGCAACCUGGUCCCAUCGGGAGCUUGAAAGAGAAAUUAAGGUGAGUCAUAAAAAGAUGUAUUUCUUAUGUACACCUAAAUUUGUGGACUGUGUUUCACAGACACCAGCCCUAUGUAUUGCCAAUAAAUUUCAGAGACUUUCAAAUUUCAUUUUAAAACAAAGCAGUGUUUCAUGUCUCUCCCUACACCUCCUUCCCCCACCAACAGCCACCCGAGUGACCCAGCUUCAAUGUGCAUCAGAUCCUUUUAUUCCCAAAUUUAAAACCCUCAGGGCCUCUGCAUGCCUGUGGGAUUGAGUCUAAAGGUGUGGGUAGGGGAGUUCCCGUCGUGGUGCAGUGGUUAACG
Molecule: non-coding RNA, 1082 nt
Organism: Sus scrofa (pig)
Lineage: Eukaryota; Metazoa; Chordata; Mammalia; Artiodactyla; Suidae
Source: RefSeq, a predicted model, not a curated record